UACGGGGGGAGCAAACGUUGUUCGGAAUCACUGGGCGUAAAGGGCGUGUAGGCGGCUGGAUAAGUGGGAUGUUAAAUCCCCCGGCUCAACCGGGGACCUGCAUCUCAUACUGUUCAGCUCGAGCACAUCAGAGGAGACUGGAAUUCCCGGUGUAGCGGUGAAAUUCGUAGAUACCAGGUGGAACACCAGUGGCGAAGGCGGCCUUCUGGACGGUAACUGACGCUGAGACGCGAAAGCGUGGGGAGCAAACAGG
RNAcentral lists this ribosomal RNA (253 nucleotides) under uncultured bacterium. RNAcentral's name for it is "partial 16S ribosomal RNA". It matches the Rfam family "Bacterial small subunit ribosomal RNA", at positions 524 to 776 of the family's 1533-position model. The record is from RNAcentral.